This 496-nucleotide ribosomal RNA is filed under the name uncultured bacterium. RNAcentral describes it as "partial 16S ribosomal RNA". It matches the Rfam family "Bacterial small subunit ribosomal RNA", at positions 29 to 507 of the family's 1533-position model. The record is from RNAcentral.
AUGAACGCUGGCGGCGUGCCUAAUACAUGCAAGUCGAGCGAACGGACGAGAAGCUUGCUUCUCUGAUGUUAGCGGCGGACGGGUGAGUAACACGUGGAUAACCUACCUAUAGGACUGGGAUAACUUCGGGAAACCGGAGCUAAUACCGGAUAAUAUUUUGAACCGCAUGGUUCAAAAGUGAAAGACGGUCUUGCUGUCACUUAUAGAUGGAUCCGCGCUGCAUUAGCUAGUUGGUAAGGUAACGGCUUACCAAGGCAACGAUGCAUAGCCGACCUGAGAGGGUGAUCGGCCACACUGGAACUGAGACACGGUCCAGACUCCUACGGGAGGCAGCAGUAGGGAAUCUUCCGCAAUGGGCGAAAGCCUGACGGAGCAACGCCGCGUGAGUGAUGAAGGUCUUCGGAUCGUAAAACCCUGUUAUUAGGGAAGAACAUAUGUGUAAGUAACUGUGCACAUCUUGACGGUACCUAAUCAGAAAGCCACGGCUAACUACGUG